This 235-nucleotide ribosomal RNA is filed under the name uncultured bacterium. RNAcentral's name for it is "partial 16S ribosomal RNA". It matches the Rfam family "Bacterial small subunit ribosomal RNA", at positions 96 to 334 of the family's 1533-position model. The record is from RNAcentral.
UGGCGGACGGGUGAGUAAUGUCUGGGAAACUGCCUGAUGGAAGGGGAUAACUACUGGAAACGGUAGCUAAUACCGCAUAACGUCGCAAGACCAAAGAGGGGGACCUUCGGGCCUCUUGCCAUCGGAUGUGCCCAGAUGGGAUUAGCUAGUAGGUGGGGUAACGGCUCACCUAGGCGACGAUCCCUAGCUGGUCUGAGAGGAUGACCAGCCACACUGGAACUGAGACACGGUCCAG